Molecule: transfer RNA, 74 nt
Filed under: Rhodospirillales bacterium
Lineage: Bacteria; Pseudomonadati; Pseudomonadota; Alphaproteobacteria; Rhodospirillales
Description: tRNA-Gly
Rfam family: tRNA
About the family: Transfer RNA (tRNA) molecules are approximately 80 nucleotides in length. Their secondary structure includes four short double-helical elements and three loops (D, anti-codon, and T loops). Further hydrogen bonds mediate the characteristic L-shaped molecular structure. tRNAs have two regions of fundamental functional importance: the anti-codon, which is responsible for specific mRNA codon recognition, and the 3' end, to which the tRNAs corresponding amino acid is attached (by aminoacyl-tRNA synthetases). tRNAs cope with the degeneracy of the genetic code in two manners: having more than one tRNA (with a specific anti-codon) for a particular amino acid; and 'wobble' base-pairing, i.e. permitting non-standard base-pairing at the 3rd anti-codon position.
Source: RNAcentral
GCGGGUGUAGCUCAGUGGUAGAGCAUUGGCUUCCCAAGCCAUGUGCGAGGGUUCGAUUCCCUUCACCCGCUCCA